Carlito syrichta (Philippine tarsier) is the source of this 222-nucleotide long non-coding RNA. RefSeq lists it as uncharacterized. Lineage: Eukaryota; Metazoa; Chordata; Mammalia; Primates; Tarsiidae. The transcript has 3 exons. The record is from RefSeq and is a predicted model, not a curated record.
GGAACUCAAUGGCAACAACAUCACUCGGAUCCACAAGAAUGACUUUGCGGGGCUCAAGCAGCUGCGGGUGCUGCAGCUGAUGGAGAACCAGAUUGGAGUGGUGGAACGGGGUGCUUUCGACGACAUGAAGGAGCUGGAGAGGCUGCGGCUGAACCGGAACCAGCUGCACACGCUUCCGGAGCUGCUGUUCCAGAACAACCAGGCUCUGUCGAGAUUGUGAGU